GAGGUAAACCACCAGGAUGCAUAGCCAUCUCUCCCCCGCGGCCCGCCGCAUCGUGCGACGAGAGCAUCACUGCAGCUAGGCGACACCACCGAUGGUCGUCAUCUACCAUCCUCAACUGUCCCGCACUGGGUUCUACUCUGCCUCGGCGCGUCUUCCAUUCCAUAGUCCCAACGGCAUUCUCCACUACUACGGCAUCCUCCUCCACUAUUACGCCUGGACCAUCUUCGAUGGGCGCAACGGUAUACUCCUCCACUUCCUCACCGUCCAUCCAGAGGUCACCAGGUGGCCAUCGCCUCCGCUGCCACUGCGGCCGCCACACGUGUGGCAACGUGCCACGCGCCAACGCCGAUGCUCACCGCAUGCCACGACGAGGUCAUCUGGUCAGCGACGAAACCCCCCUAUACACCAGUCACGCGGGUAAGGUGUUCGUCGAUAUGAAUAAGUCAGUAUCACUGCCUUGCGUAUGUAACUACUUGAAUGGACUGGAGCAGGGGUAAGAAAUGUUGGCAACGUAUAGAGCACCGUGUCAGCUCCUGAAUACAUUUGUUUUGUUAGAAAUCAUAACAAAAUUUGAUAUGGCAUGAGUUAAUGCUUCCUUUGUUUUACCAUGUCUAACCAUGUUGAUGUCUUCAUCCACGAUGAAUAAUAUACUAGAAAGGAAGCGGAGUUUUGUUCUUAGUUAGCUACUAUAUGCAGGUUGUAUGAAGAAUUGAAGAUUAUCAUUUUGUCGGUCAAACUGUCUGAAGUUCUCUUCAAAAGAAGUUGAAAGCAUAUUCUGCAAUCACUAAGUUGUGUCCGAUACUGCUUUCUUCUCUUGCUACCAGUUACUGAAGAUGGAUCAGUUAAUUGUUCAACAAUAGGGCUAGGAUAUUUCUUCUAAGCGAUUAUAGUCAUGAUGGUUCAAUCUCAACUUCACAUUUCUAUGUGGUGGUACACCGGUGGAUCUAGGAUUGAUUGAUGGUAAGAGGAGACUAUUUUUCUCUCCUUCAGCACCGCUAUUAUUAUUAUUUUUUUUGGGUCUAUUUUUCCCACCACUUUCGUAUACAUCUCCAUUGUGUGCAAGGACAUAUGAGGCUGGAGCACCCCCAACCCCCAUGUUACAGCUGUCCUGUUAAUAAAACCAUGCGUGCUGUUGUUGUCGUAUGUGCCGAAUUUCCCCACAUGCAUGAACUUUUGGUUUUGUAGCUAAAUCCGGAAGAAGUUUGUACAGCGGUUGUUUAAAAAGUUAACCAGUAACACUAUUUAUUCAUAUUUUUUUCUUCAUAUUUGUAUCUAUUGUUUACCAGAAAUUUCAUUCAAUCUCUCCUCUCCAUUUUAUUUCACAUUUGAAGAUUAUUAUUUUGUUAGUCAAACUGUCUGAACUUCUCUUCAAAGCAUAUUCUGCAAUUACUCAGUUGUGUCCAGUAACCCGAUACUACUUUCUUCUCUUGCAUAUUCUGCAAUUAUUAUUUCUCUCUAAGCGAUUAUCAUCCUGAUAGUUUCUAAAAAUGCCGUUGGUAAUUAUCACUGUCCCAACACAUUUCUGUAUGGUGAAAUCAAGGGCUCGAUCUAGGAUUGAUGGUAAGAGGAGUCUAUUUUUUCACUCCUUCAGCACCCCUACUCUUUUUUGUCUAUUUUUUCUCAGACCCCUUCAUAUAUUUCUCAAUGUUGUGCAACCAUGGUGUGCAAGGACAUAGGAGGCUAGAGCACCUCUAACCCCAUGCUGGCCUGCUUCUAAAGCUUACAAUGUCGUGUACUUCAUCUAUUUGUUCUAAGUAUAAGUUAUUUUAACUUUUUUUGAGUCACCAUCU
Zea mays is the source of this 1790-nucleotide long non-coding RNA. RefSeq lists it as uncharacterized. The record is from RefSeq and is a predicted model, not a curated record. Lineage: Eukaryota; Viridiplantae; Streptophyta; Magnoliopsida; Poales; Poaceae. The transcript has 2 exons.